AAGUUCAAGGUACUAUAGUGUACUUUGCCCUUAAAAAUAUUAUGGGAACCAUGUGGCAUUAUUUUAAUUUUUUUUAUUUUAUUUGUAAAUGGGCUCUAUAAUCUAAUUAAAAAUGAAUUUUUUAAUUGAAAAUAGUGUAAUAUCAGCGGCUAGUAACAUCGUUGGGAUGUUUGGACACCUUCUUUGCUAAGAGAUUUAACAAUGGGGUAUUGGUUUGUCAAAUUCAAGUCACAAGACCAUACUUGAAAAUGGCGGCCCAAACCACAUGGUAUUUCUUUAUACUUUCCCUUAAAACAAUGAUCUAUAUUUUACUGUGGCUUUAAGGUAUUUGGAAGCCCCUUAAUACAAGCUUUACUAGUUACUCAAGUAGUCUUAGAGUUCUUGUUCUAAACCCCAAGUCCAUUGGAGCGCCCAAGAACAGUCUCUUGUUUGAGUGCAUUCAUAUGAAAAUAUAUGAAAAUUUUGUAGUUUAAAGUAUGAAUUUUGCAUAUGAUGUUGACUGAGCUUUUGAUGUGUUUUGAUAAUUU
Molecule: unclassified non-coding RNA, 527 nt
Filed under: Hevea brasiliensis (rubber tree)
Lineage: Eukaryota; Viridiplantae; Streptophyta; Magnoliopsida; Malpighiales; Euphorbiaceae
Source: RNAcentral